Molecule: long non-coding RNA, 310 nt
Filed under: Sorghum bicolor (sorghum)
Lineage: Eukaryota; Viridiplantae; Streptophyta; Magnoliopsida; Poales; Poaceae
Description: long non-coding RNA (SBIC_LNC002115)
Source: RNAcentral
CUGGAUCGUUUGGAAGGAAAGAAACGAGAUCACCUUCGGCAGAGGAUUACCCAGAAGCACCACACAGCUAUUCAUGGCAGUGGCGGUUGAGGCGGAGGAUUGGGUCUCGGCGGGCUACCAAAGCUUGGCGGUGCCAUCGGCUCUCUGGUCGCUGGAAAAUGCUGUUUUGUAACGCUUCUUUGUUCCCCAGUAGCGUAGGUUUGCUUGCCUGCUUGUCUUGGUUUCUCGCCGCUGCAGCAAGUCUCUUGUAACACUUGGUUACUCCACUUCUUAAUGAAAUACGGGCUAAUCACCCAAUCUAAAAAAAAAG